GCCGUCAUAGUUCAGUUGGUAGAACAGCCGCCUUGUAAGCGGACGGUCACGGGUUCGAGUCCUGUUGACGGCU
Molecule: transfer RNA, 73 nt
Filed under: Tumebacillus flagellatus
Lineage: Bacteria; Bacillati; Bacillota; Bacilli; Caryophanales; Alicyclobacillaceae
Rfam family: tRNA
About the family: Transfer RNA (tRNA) molecules are approximately 80 nucleotides in length. Their secondary structure includes four short double-helical elements and three loops (D, anti-codon, and T loops).
Source: Rfam by way of RNAcentral